RNAcentral lists this ribosomal RNA (485 nucleotides) under uncultured bacterium. Its description in RNAcentral is "partial 16S ribosomal RNA". It matches the Rfam family "Bacterial small subunit ribosomal RNA", at positions 899 to 1397 of the family's 1533-position model. The record is from RNAcentral.
ACUCAAAUGAAUUGACGGGGGCCCGCACAAGCAGCGGAGCGUGUGGUUUAAUUCGAGGCUACACGAAGAACCUUACCUGGCUUUGACAUGACCGUCAACGAGGGUGAAAGCCUGAGGUCCGCAAGGGACGGUCACAGGUGCUGCAUGGCUGUCGUCAGCUCGUGCCGUGAGGUGUUAGGUUAAGUCCUGUAACGAGCGCAACCCUCGGGUUCAGUUACACGCAGUCUGGACCGACUGCCCGUGACAAGCGGGAGGAAGGUGGGGAUGACGUCAAGUCAGCAUGGCCUUUAUAGCCAGGGCUACACACACGCUACAAUGGUCGGUACAAUCGGUAGCCAAGCCGCAAGGCGGAGCCAAUCCAAGCAAAGCCGAUCACAGUUCGGAUUGUGGGCUGCAACCCGCCCACAUGAAGCUGGAGUUGCUAGUAACCGCGCAUCAGCCAUGGUGCGGUGAAUACGUUCCCGGGCCUUGUACACACCGCCCGU